This 32-nucleotide non-coding RNA is filed under the name Trypanosoma brucei brucei. Lineage: Eukaryota; Euglenozoa; Kinetoplastea; Trypanosomatida; Trypanosomatidae. The record is from RNAcentral.
AUCAGAAUCAGAGAUAUAUAGAGUAAGUGGUU